AUGGAGACAGUGUCUGUCCCCCGACCCAAAUCUCACAAUGAUUUUAGCAUAAAAUCAAAUAAAAGAGCUAUCAAUUAUAAAAAUCUGAAAAAAAUUAAAAUCUCAAAUCUAGAAACACCAAAACAUAAAACCAUUAGAUGUGCUCUAUUAAAUAUUAGAUCACUGAGACCCAAAUCUCUACUAGUAAAUAACCUUAUCUCAGAAAAUAACUUUGAUUUAUUCUGUUUAACUGAAACAUGGCUGUAUCAAGAUGAAUAUGUUAGUUUAAAUGAAGCCACUCCUCCCAGUCAUUUAAAUACUCAUAUGCCACGAGACAUAGGCCAUGGAGGUGGUGUAGCAGCUAUUUAUCAUUCCUCUCUCCUAAUCUAUCCUAAACCAAAGGCCAGUUACACUUCCUUUGAAAGCCUGGUUCUAAAUUUAUCUCAUACCGAAUCAAAAACCUGCCAGCCAGUCUUAUUUGCGAUAAUUUACCAUCCUCCAGGCCCUUAUUCUGAAUUUCUAUCAGAAUUCUCUGAGUUUAUAUCAAACUUAGUCCUAAGUUCUGAUAAAAUACUGAUAGUAGGAGAUUUUAAUAUCCAUGUUGACAAAGAUAGUGAUAGCCUGAGCUCAGCCUUUAUGUCCCUAAUAGACUCAGUUGGCUUCUUUCAAACUAUUAAUGAAGCUACUCAUUGUUUAAAUCAUACUCUUGAUCUUGUUCUAACAAAUGGCCUUGAUAUUAAUGAACUAAAAGUCUACCCUGAAAAUCCUCUUCUAUCAGAUCACUUUUUAAUAUCUUUUAACAUUAUCCUAGAGGAUUUCGCACUGCGCAAUAAAAUAGUUACGAGUAGAAAUCUGUCCAAUAGUGCUGUGGCUAAAUUUAAAGAGGCCAUUCCUGCUGCCUUAAACUCAGUGCACCAUCCAAUAAAUAACUAUGAUAUUAAUUAUAACCCCUCUCAACUGGAUCUGCUUGUCGAUAGCUCUGCUAGUCUACUAAAAUCCACCUUGGACUCAAUUGCCCCAUUGAGGGAAAAAACUAUUAAACGUCAGAGGAAAGCUCCGUGGUUUAGCUCUGAAACUCGCACUCUCAAACAAACAACCCGUAAAUUAGAGAGAAUGUGGCGCUCCAAUAAAACAGAGGAGUCAUGA
This 1125-nucleotide long non-coding RNA is filed under the name Gouania willdenowi (blunt-snouted clingfish). RNAcentral's name for it is "lncRNA (ENSGWIG00000016066.1)". The record is from RNAcentral. Lineage: Eukaryota; Metazoa; Chordata; Actinopteri; Blenniiformes; Gobiesocidae.